This 1302-nucleotide long non-coding RNA is filed under the name Homo sapiens (human). Its description in RNAcentral is "HSALNT0332530". The record is from RNAcentral. Lineage: Eukaryota; Metazoa; Chordata; Mammalia; Primates; Hominidae.
UUACAAUCCGUUAGGUAGACACAAAAGUUCUCCAAGUCUCCACCAGAUUAGCUAGACACAGAGUGCUGAUUGGUGCAUAUACAAUCCUCCAGCUAGACAUGAAAGUUUUUCAAGUCAGGACUUGACUCAAGAGCCCAACUGGCUUUGCCUAGGCUCCACCUAGUGGAUCCCUUGGCCGGGUCACGGGCGCAGCUGCCUACCACUGCCGCACCGCACCUGCGCUUCUCAGCCCUUGGGCGGUCAGUGGGACCCGGCGCCACGGAGCAGGGGGCGGUGCCCGUUGCGGAGGCUCGGGCCGCGCGGGAGCCCACCAUGGGGGGGGCUCGGGAAUGGCGGGCUGCAGGCCCCGAGCCCUGCCCCUCUGGGAGGCGGCUGAAACCCGGUGAGAAUUCGAGCGUGGCGCGGGUGGGCCAGCAGUGUUUGGGGACCCGGAGCACUCUCCACAGCUGCUGGUCCAGGUGCUAAGUCCCUCACUGCCCAGCACCUGCAGCGCCGACCGGCCGCUCUUGAGUGCGGGGCCUGCAGAGCCCACGCCCACCCGGAACUCGCGCUGGCCCGUGAGCGCCGUGCCGCAGCCCCGGUUCCCGCCCGCGCCUCUCCCUCCACACUUCGCCGCAAGCAGAGGGAGCCGGCUCCGGCCUCAGCUGGCCCAGAGAGGGGCUCCCUCAGUGCAGUGGCGAGCUGAAGGGCUCCUCAAGGGCGGCUGGAGUGGACGCUGAGGCCGAGGAGACGCCAAGAGCAAACGAGGGCUGCUAGUACAUUGUCACCUCUCACUGGUAACUACAGUUGCUGUCAGUUUAACUGAAAGACAGGACAGAUUCUUAUGACCUGAAACAGCACCUCAACUCUUACCUUGGAUAUUUCUACAUGAAGAAUCUGCUCUGAAACUAUAGCAAACAAUCACAGAGUGUUUGAGUGUGAGUCCAGACUGGUUCGGGAAGACCAAGAAGCAAUGAUGAUGUCUGUUUUUGUCAAAUGUCUGAAAACUAUUUUUAUUUUUCUAAAACUUUGUUCAGAAGUCUCAAUAUUGUAGUGUAUAGAGAUGUACACUAAUUUAGUGAUAUGAAGAUGAAGGGCUUUAAGCCUGUGUUCCUUGCAGGCAUCUCAGUACCUAGGAACUCCAAAGAACAAACUGUUGCUCGUGCAAAAUUAAAUUUCAUAAAACAGCAAAGAAUGGUGCCAGAGUUUAAUUAAUAGGAUAAGGUUAUGAGUCAGACUGUGUACCCCAAAAAAGAUAUGUUGAACUCCUAAGCCCCUGAACCACAGAAUGGGAUCCUAUUCAGAAAUAGGCACAGUGUCCGG